This 289-nucleotide ribosomal RNA is filed under the name Gittenedouardia natalensis. RNAcentral's name for it is "partial large subunit ribosomal RNA". The record is from RNAcentral. Lineage: Eukaryota; Metazoa; Mollusca; Gastropoda; Stylommatophora; Cerastidae.
CGGCCGCAGUACUCUGACUGUGCUAAGGUAGGAGGGGAUUGGCUUUUAAUUGAAGUCUAGUAUAAACGGCAAAAAUGGGGAAAAACUGUCUUUUGCUUAUUGGGUGAAAAUUCCCAAAUUUAAAACAUAAGACGAGAAGACCCUUAGAAUUAUGUUUUUGUUGGGGCAACAACGUCAGAGACAUAUGAUGUUAAUAUAAUUAUAAGGAAUUUAAUUACCUAAGGGAUAACAGCAUAAUUUCUUUUUUAGAUUAUGACCUCGAUGUUGGAUUAGGGACCUUAUUUACUAG